UUCCGGUUGAUCCUGCCGGAGGUCACUGCUAUUGGGGUUCGGCUAAGCCAUGCGAGCGGAGGGCGCGGUCGCAAGAUCGUGGCCCCGCACACGGCUCAGUAACACGUAGUCAACCUACCCUUGGGACGGGGACAACGCCGGGAAACUGGCGAUAAUCCCCGAUAGGUGAGGGAUGCUGGGAUGCUUCUUCGCUCAAAGCUCCGGCGCCCGAGGAUGGGACUGCGGCCUAUCAGGCUGUUGGUGGUGUGACGGACCACCAAACCUACGACGGGUACGGGCGAUGGGAGUCGGAGCCUGGAGAUGGGGACUGAGACAAGGCCCCAGGCCCUACGGGGCGCAGCAGGCGCGAAAACUCCGCAAUGCGCGCAAGCGUGACGGGGGAACCCCAAGUGCCGUUGGUCUUUUGAUCGACGGCUUUUCGGAAGUCCAAUAAGCUUCCGGAAUAAGGGCUGGGCAAGACUGGUGCCAGCCGCCGCGGUAACACCAGCAGCCCAAGUGGUGGCCGCGAUUAUUGGGCCUAAAGCGCUCGUAGCCGGAUCAGCAAGUCCUUUGUGAAAUCGGACCGCCCAACGGUUCGGCGUGCAAAGGAUACUGUUGGUCUUGAGACCGGGAGAGGUCGGAGGUACUCUUGGGGUAGCGGUGAAAUGCUGUAAUCCUGGGGGGACCACCAGUGGCGAAGGCGUCCGACCAGAACGGAUCUGACGGUGAGGGGCGAAGGCUAGGGGAGCGAACGGGAUUAGAUACCCCGGUAGUCCUAGCUGUAAAGCAUGCGGGCCAGGUGUCUAGCGCUCCUUGAGGGCGCUAUGUGCCGGAGGGAAGCCGUUAAGCCCGCCGCCUGGGAAGUACGGCCGCAAGGCUGAAACUUAAAGAAAUUGGCGGGGGAGCACCACAAGGGGUGGAACCUGCGGUUCAAUUGGAUUCAACGCCGGG
Molecule: ribosomal RNA, 930 nt
Filed under: uncultured archaeon
Lineage: Archaea
Description: bacterial SSU rRNA
Rfam family: Archaeal small subunit ribosomal RNA
Source: RNAcentral